UACGAAGGGGGCUAGCGUUGUUCGGAAUUACUGGGCGUAAAGCGCACGUAGGCGGAAUGUUAAGUCAGGGGUGAAAUCCCGGGGCUCAACCCCGGAACUGCCUUUGAUACUGGCAUUCUCGAGUCCGGAAGAGGCGAGUGGAAUUCCGAGUGUAGAGGUGAAAUUCGUAGAUAUUCGGAGGAACACCAGUGGCGAAGGCGGCUCACUGGUCCGGUACUGACGCUGAGGUGCGAAAGCGUGGGGAGCAAACAGG
Molecule: ribosomal RNA, 253 nt
Filed under: uncultured bacterium
Lineage: Bacteria
Description: partial 16S ribosomal RNA
Rfam family: Bacterial small subunit ribosomal RNA
Source: RNAcentral